RNAcentral lists this long non-coding RNA (1177 nucleotides) under Vitis vinifera (wine grape). RNAcentral describes it as "long non-coding RNA (VVIN_LNC000007)". The record is from RNAcentral. Lineage: Eukaryota; Viridiplantae; Streptophyta; Magnoliopsida; Vitales; Vitaceae.
CAGUGAAGGGGAGCCACUGCAGCACUGGAGUCCGUGCUGGUGAUGCCACCACUUCCCGAGGGGCCUAGGCCAAACACUGAGGGACUGGUGGUGCUGCUUGGAGUCGUGGUUGAGGGUGUGGUUGUGGAAGGUGUGGUCGUGGAUGGUGUGGUUGUGGAUGGAGUUGUGCUGCUUCCUGUGGAGCUGAACGAAGGAGAGAACCCACAACAAUGUUAAUCACAGACCCUAAUUGAAUAUCAAAUUGAUAAGAAAAAGGAACAGAAGGAAGAACAGAUGUCAAUCUGAGAUCUGAAAUCAAUAUUUUUUCACCAUCAAGAGGAAAAAAAAACACAGGUAUCAACAUCAUGACAGCUCACAGCUUUAGUGGGGGAGAAACGUGUAAGGAUAUCAAUGUAAGAAAAUAUUAAAUAGGGUGAUGUAUCUACUUUCUGAACUACAGUCGACAAAAUUCUUAAUUCAAUGUCAAGAUUUAACCUAUCUUUGGAGGAGAAACCCCAAUUACAGAGGAAUCAACCAGGAAGAACAGCCCCCAUAAUCUAUCUUUUUAGAUUUCAAUAUUAUUGCCUUAUGCGAGAUAAAGCAGUGGGAAAUGGUUAUUUUGUAGAUUAAAAUUGGGGGAAAAACUUUAUUAUGGUGAUCAUCAUAAAAAGUUAAAAAAAAAACUCGAUAAAAGGGAGAUAAUAAACCACCCCAACCAAAAGAAUCAAACCAUGGAAAAGGGGAAAAUCUUAGGCAUGGAAAAGAUAUUUUUGAUCUGCAACAAGAAGAUUUUUUUAUCUGAAGCAGAUGCUCACUGCUAAACCAUGGGAAAAAGAUAAUACAUUUCAAAGUGAGAAGAGAACCCAUCUGACAAGAAACAGUCUAAAAAGACAGAAACCAGGAGGAAUAGAGGCAAACCUUGCACUUGUAGGAUAAACACAAGUUGAAACGCUGGCUGUAAAUCACCAAACAAUAGAGGAAGAGAAAAAAUCAGUAUUCCAUGAGGGUUGGGGAUGAUGAAAUUAGCGAGGUUUCACAAGGCACUUACAAGGGUUAGUCUGACUUUGGGUAGCAGUUCCUGCAAAAUCACAGCUCCCAGAAGCUUGACCCUUCUUCUGGAAAUAGCUGUUAACAGCAUAACUACAGUGAUCCUUCACAGUGUUGGGGUUGUAACAAGCCCCAUUUUGAAGAACUGGGG